This is a non-coding RNA of Pteropus alecto (black flying fox), 63 nucleotides long. Lineage: Eukaryota; Metazoa; Chordata; Mammalia; Chiroptera; Pteropodidae. The record is from Rfam.
UUGUGCUUACAGCUCUUUUUGAAUUUGUCUAGUAGGUCUUCUGGUUCUCACCAACAGACUCCC